Molecule: ribosomal RNA, 460 nt
Filed under: uncultured bacterium
Lineage: Bacteria
Description: partial 16S ribosomal RNA
Rfam family: Bacterial small subunit ribosomal RNA
Source: RNAcentral
CCUACGGGGUGCAGCAGUGAGGAAUAUUGGUCAAUGGACGAGAGUCUGAACCAGCCAAGUAGCGUGAAGGGUGACUGCCCUAUGGGUUGUAAACUUCUUUUAUAUGGGAAUAAAAUGUUCCACGUGUGGGAUUUUGUCUGUACCUUAUGAAUAAGGAUCGGCUAACUCCGUGCCAGCAGCCGCGGUAAUACGGAGGAUCCGAGCGUUAUCCGGAUUUAUUGGGUUUAAAGGGAGCGUAGGUGGAUUGUUAAGUCAGUUGUGAAAGUUUGCGGCUCAACCGUAAAAUGGCAGUUGAAACUGGCAGUCUUGCGUACAGUAGAGGUGGGCGGAAUUCGUGGUGUAGCGGUGAAAUGCUUAGAUAUCACGAAGAACUCCGAUUGCGAAGGCAGUUCACUGGACUGCAACUGACACUGAGGCUCGAAAGUGUGGGUAUCAAACAGGAUUAGAUACCCGUGUAGUC